GCUGAUGAUGUGACGGGCAAAAAAGGCUGGAUUGAUGGCAUAUAUGAACAAAAUGAUGCAGAUAAUCAAGAUGAAAGUGAUUCAUCUUCCCAGGAUUCAGAAGGUGAUGAAGAUAAUGAAGGAGAUGGUGAUGGGAAAGAUGGUAGUGGUGAUGAGCAUGUAAAUAUAUCCACCAUGAAAGAUUGGGAGCAAAGUGAUGAUGAUGAUGACGGUCUGAAUAUGGAUGGUGAAGAAACAGAGAACAUUGAUGAGAAAGAAGUGGCC
RNAcentral lists this long non-coding RNA (264 nucleotides) under Musa acuminata (dwarf banana). RNAcentral describes it as "long non-coding RNA (MACU_LNC002968)". The record is from RNAcentral. Lineage: Eukaryota; Viridiplantae; Streptophyta; Magnoliopsida; Zingiberales; Musaceae.